Silurus meridionalis is the source of this 1611-nucleotide long non-coding RNA. RefSeq lists it as uncharacterized. The transcript has 3 exons. NCBI's taxonomy places the organism in Eukaryota, Metazoa, Chordata, Actinopteri, Siluriformes, Siluridae. The record is from RefSeq and is a predicted model, not a curated record.
GUACUUCCGGCUUUACGUGCAGAUAGUGGCAAGGGUGGACUGAGGAGCUUUGUGGGGAAGCCGCUAAGUGUUUAGGAAGACGUGCUUAAUAAACGUCUGCAUCCGUGCCUCGUGAGUCGUCGUACAGGUGCGGGUCAAUGUGCAAGGGACGUUACAGUGGGCUGCUGUAGUGGGCUGCUGUAGUGGGCUUUUCGCUUGCUGUGUGGCUUUCCUGCGCUAUGUGCAUCGUUUACACCGCUUUGAUGUUGGCUUGACUGCUCUGUGCUACAUCACCUGUGCUCUGCAUUGUCUGCUUCGCUGGGUUUAGCUGGACAUUGUUAAUUUACGUUCCUGUUCUCUGGAGCUGUGUUACUUCCUUUUGGCACCAGCUGAUUGACAUUUUGCUGCUCUUGUAUGCUAACAGUUUCUUGUUGCAGCAUUUAACUACCCGCAGGAUCAGCUGGACCGGGGGCAUGUGUUUAUUUACAACGGUAAUGUGAGUAAUUAGAUUUGUGGCGUGUUACAGGGUAGUCAUUACCUGAUUCUUUGUGUUGUGAUUUAAUCACUUAUUUUUGCAUUAGUUGUAUUCUUUUAUGCAGAUUAGCAUCUUGUGGUGGUGGGUUCCUUACCUGAUUGCAGUGCAGUGUUCACAGAGUGGGGUGGCCAGUGGCAGCAGAUUAGCAUCUUGUGGUGGUGGGUUCCUUACCUGAUUGCACUGCAGUGUUCACAGAGUGGGGUGGCCAGUGGCAGCAGAUUAGCAUCUUGUGGUGGUGGGUUCCUUACCUGAUUGCAGUGCAGUGUUCACAGUGAGGUGUGGUGUGCUGUGGUGCUUGUGUGCACGUGUGAGUGUUCUCUCUGCUUAGGACCCUGUGUGCUCUCUGCUUAUGACAUCAGGCCUUCUCCCACCCUGAAGUGUUUGUCUUCUUUUCUGUUUUUACUAUUUGAUGUAGUGAAUAAAAUGUGAUUAUUUUAAAUAAUUUUUUUUUGUUAUUUACUCAACUCUGGUCUGAUACCUGACCCAGUCGUGAUGAACCUGUGUGCCUUAAGGUUGAGGGCAGUCCCGGAAAUAGCCCCCGGGUGGCGUAGUCGGUACAAAUUAUUAGUUGGUAACGCCGCAGUUGGCGUAGCCGGUACAAGUUACGAGUUCACAAUGCCACAUUAGCAUCAAGCUAAUUGUUUUAUUUCAAAAAGAUUCAAUGAAAAAACCUUCACACCUGUUCAUCCAUCCGUCCGUCUGUUCAUAUAACUGUUCAUCUCUCAAAAGUAGUGAACAUCUCAUUUCCAUCAGAAUGAAAAGUUCUUUUGUCAUUGUUCACAAACACGAUCAUCAAAAUGUGUAUUCAUGAUAUCAGUAUGAUGCUGCACAGUUUCAGUGUUUCCUGAUAUAAACUAUGGUUUGGAUCACAGAGACUGAAAUGCACAAGGCUAAAUUUCAGCAGCACAAAUUCAUUUUUUUGUUUUAUUUAUAUUGAUUGUAAAAGACCAGACAGGAUUCACACUUUUACUGUACUGUACAUGUGUUUGUUUGUUUCUUAGUUGUUGAUCCAUUUUCAGAAUGUAUAAUUCUGUGUUUUUCUCCGUCUGUAUUCAGUCUCCAACUGAAGCUUCAAGAUUCACCUUUGACCUGUUUUA